GUGUGGCCGGUGUCACCAUCAGCGCUUGUUGGGGGGCCUCCCGGGACCCCCCACUUCCGAAUUGGGCGUGGCAGUGAGAGGGACUGUUCCCUACGUGACGGGAGGGGCGGUGGUCGUUCUAGGCUCAGCCCAGGCUUAGGGGUCUGAAGGUCACCUGAUGAGCCGAUGCCACAAAACCCCAGGCUCUCCAUCCCGAGCCCACCCCCCCUUACCAAGGAAGCUGCUAGAGGGGGUGCUCUGUCAAAAUGAGAGAAUAAACCAAGAGGAAGGCGUCAGAUCCUGGAACCAGGGGCUCCAACUAGUGUUGCAGUGGAAUACAGGAUUCAGAAUCCAGACACAAGCUCUCCACAGGGAAGUACAUGCACUGUGCUUAUUUUAAAGAGAGAGAGUGUCCAUCAUCUUGCACCUAGGAGAUCUACUGUAACCACCUUCUCAGCAACGGUAGAUGUUGGAAGGGCCAUGUCUGCAGUCCUCAAGACAGCGUGAUGCCCAGGAGGGAAGGUGCCCUGCCUUGCUCAGGAUCCCAGUGGAACAGCACCUGCUCAGAAAGCUGCCCAGGCCCACCUUCCCCAGGGAGAAUUCUGUGUUCCAGGCCAUCCCCUUCCGGAAGACGGUUCUGCUUAGAUUUGUCAGGGAAGGUGGUUAAGCAAUGCAGACAACAAAAGUGGGCCCCAAACCACAGACCCUAGAAGAGAAGGAGAAGAUGACACUCUGGAAGGUGAGCAGUUCUGUCUACCCAGCAGGCAUCAGUCUAACCUGCAAUCAGGAGCCUGGACGCAAAGCUUGUCUCUGAUACAAACUGGCUCUACAGCUUUGGGAAACUCACCCAACCUCUCUGAUCCUUUAAAAUCAUGCUUUGUAAAAGAAUAAUCAUGCCAAUCUUCUAGUGUUAGUUAAGGAUUACAUUUGUAUGAGUUUUACAAAGUGGAAAAUGCCAUGGGAUUAUAAGCUGAUUAUAAAUUUAUCUGCCUAAAGUAACCA
Long non-coding RNA from Zalophus californianus (California sea lion), 981 nucleotides. RefSeq lists it as uncharacterized. The transcript is spliced from 3 exons. The record is from RefSeq and is a predicted model, not a curated record. NCBI's taxonomy places the organism in Eukaryota, Metazoa, Chordata, Mammalia, Carnivora, Otariidae.